This 540-nucleotide ribosomal RNA is filed under the name uncultured bacterium. RNAcentral describes it as "bacterial SSU rRNA". It matches the Rfam family "Bacterial small subunit ribosomal RNA", at positions 36 to 561 of the family's 1533-position model. The record is from RNAcentral.
AAUGCGGCGCGCCAUACACAUGCAAGUCGAACGCGACAGGGGCAACUCUGUUGAGUGGCGCACGGGUGAGUAACCCGUUAGAAAUCUCCCCUCGAGGGGGGGAUAACCUUCCGAAAGCCUUUCUAAUACAGUAUAAGACCACGGCUUCGAAAGGAGCUGAGGUCAAAGCGGAGGAUCGUAAGACUUCGCGCUUGACGAUGAGCCUGCGGCCCAUCAGGUAGUUGGCGGGGUAAUGGCCCACCAAGCCUAAGACGGGUAGCUGGUCUGAGAGGAUGAUCAGCCACACUGGAACUGAGACACGGUCCAGACUCCUACGGGAGGCAGCAGUGGGGAAUCUUGCGCAAUGGACGAAAGUCUGACGCAGCGACGCCGCGUGGGUGAUGAAGGCCUUCGGGUUGUAAAGCCCUGUGGGGAGGGACGAAUAAGUUCCGGUUAAUACCCGGAGCGAUGACGGUACCUCCUUAGCAAGCACCGGCUAACUCUGUGCCAGCAGCCGCGGUAAGACAGAGGGUGCAAACGUUGUUCGGAAUUACUGGGCGU